UUGGAGGGCAAGUCUGGUGCCAGCAGCCGCGGUAAUUCCAGCUCCAAUAGCGUAUAUUAAAGUUGUUGCAGUUAAAAAGCUCGUAGUUGAAUUUCGGAAUCAAUAUUUCGGUCAUGCCGUUGGUAUGCACUGUUAUCAUUGAUUUCUCACCUUCUAAAGAACCGUAAUGCCAUUAAUUUGGUGUUACGUGGAAUUAGGACUGUUACCUUGAAAAAAUUAGAGUGUUUAAAGCAGGCUCACGCUUGAAUACAUUAGCAUGGAAUAAUGAAAUAGGACAUCCGAUUCUAUUUUGUUGGUUUCUAGGAUCGAUGUAAUGAUUAAUAGGGAUAGUUGGGGGCAUUAGUAUUCAAUUGUCAGAGGUGAAAUUCUUGGAUUUAUUGAAGACUAACUACUGCGAAAGCAUUUGCCAAGGAUGUUUUCAUUAAUCAAGAACGAAAGUUAGGGGAUCGAAGACGAUCAGAUACCGUCGUAGUCUUAACCAUAAACUAUGCCGACUAGGGAUCGGAUGAUGUUAAUUUUUUAAUGACUCAUUCGGCACCUUACGGGAAAC
This 550-nucleotide ribosomal RNA is filed under the name uncultured Glomus. RNAcentral describes it as "SSU rRNA". It matches the Rfam family "Eukaryotic small subunit ribosomal RNA", at positions 548 to 1098 of the family's 1831-position model. Lineage: Eukaryota; Fungi; Glomeromycota; Glomeromycetes; Glomerales; Glomeraceae. The record is from RNAcentral.